CCUACGGGAGGCAGCAGUGAGGAAUAUUGGUCAAUGGACGAGAGUCUGAACCAGCCAAGUAGCGUGAAGGAUGACUGCCCUAUGGGUUGUAAACUUCUUUUAUAUGGGAAUAAAAUGUUCCACGUGUGGGAUUUUGUAUGUACCAUAUGAAUAAGGAUCGGCUAACUCCGUGCCAGCAGCCGCGGUAAUACGGAGGAUCCGAGCGUUAUCCGGAUUUAUUGGGUUUAAAGGGAGCGUAGGUGGAGUGUUAAGUCAGUUGUGAAAGUUUGCGGCUCAACCGUAAAAUUGCAGUUGAAACUGGCAGUCUUGAGUACAGUAGAGGUGGGCGGAAUGCGUGGUGUAGCGGUGAAAUGCUUAGAUAUCACGAAGAACUCCGAUUGCGAAGGCAGUUCACUGGACUGCAACUGACACUGAGGCUCGAAAGUGUGGGUAUCAAACAGGAUUAGAUACCCGUGUAGUC
This 460-nucleotide ribosomal RNA is filed under the name uncultured bacterium. RNAcentral's name for it is "partial 16S ribosomal RNA". It matches the Rfam family "Bacterial small subunit ribosomal RNA", at positions 338 to 795 of the family's 1533-position model. The record is from RNAcentral.